This 253-nucleotide ribosomal RNA is filed under the name uncultured bacterium. Its description in RNAcentral is "partial 16S ribosomal RNA". It matches the Rfam family "Bacterial small subunit ribosomal RNA", at positions 524 to 776 of the family's 1533-position model. The record is from RNAcentral.
UACAGAGGUCUCAAGCGUUGUUCGGAUUCAUUGGGCGUAAAGGGUGCGUAGGUGGCGCCGUAAGUCGGGUGUGAAAUUUCGGAGCUUAACUCCGAAACUGCAUUCGAUACUGCGGUGCUUGAGGACUGGAGAGGAGACUGGAAUUUAUGGUGUAGCAGUGAAAUGCGUAGAGAUCAUGAGGAAGACCAGUGGCGAAGGCGGGUCUCUGGACAGUUCCUGACACUGAGGCACGAAGGCCAGGGGAGCAAACGGG